This 482-nucleotide ribosomal RNA is filed under the name uncultured bacterium. RNAcentral describes it as "partial 16S ribosomal RNA". It matches the Rfam family "Bacterial small subunit ribosomal RNA", at positions 30 to 507 of the family's 1533-position model. The record is from RNAcentral.
AUUGAACGCUGGCGGCAUGCCUUACACAUGCCAGUCGAACGGUAACAGGUCUUCGGAUGCUGACGAGUGGCGAACGGGUGAGUAAUACAUCGGAACGUGCCCGAUCGUGGGGGAUAACGAGGCGAAAGCUUCGCUAAUACCGCAUACGAUCUACGGAUGAAAGCGGGGGAUCUUCGGACCUCGCGCGGACGGAGCGGCCGAUGGCAGAUUAGGUAGUUGGUGGGAUAAAAGCUUACCAAGCCGACGAUCUGUAGCUGGUCUGAGAGGAUGAUCAGCCACACUGGGACUGAGACACGGCCCAGACUCCUACGGGAGGCAGCAGUGGGGAAUUUUGGACAAUGGGCGAAAGCCUGAUCCAGCCAUGCCGCGUGCAGGAUGAAGGCCUUCGGGUUGUAAACUGCUUUUGUACGGAACGAAAAGCCUCUUUCUAAUAAAGAGGGGUCAUGACGGUACCGUAAGAAUAAGCACCGGCUAACUACGUG